GAUGAAGAACGUAGUGAAAUGCGAUAAGUAAUGUGAAUUGCAGAAUUCAGUGAAUCAUCGAAUCUUUGAACGCACAUUGCGCCCGCCAGUAUUCUGGCGGGCAUGCCUGUUCGAGCGUCAUUUCAACCCUCAAGCCCCCGGGCUUGGUGUUGGGGAUCGGCGUGCCCUCGCGGCGCGCCGUCCCCUAAAUCUAGUGGCGGUCUCGCUGUAGCUUCCUCUGCGUAGUAGCAACACUCGCACUGGAUCGCAGCGCGGCCACGCCGUUAAACCCCCCACUUCUGAAAGUUUGACCUCGGAUCAGAUAGGAAUACCCGCUGAACUUAAGCAUAUCAAUAAGCGGAGGA
This 344-nucleotide unclassified non-coding RNA is filed under the name soil metagenome. RNAcentral describes it as "partial contains 5.8S ribosomal RNA, internal transcribed spacer 2, and large subunit ribosomal RNA". The stretch from base 1 to 120 matches the Rfam family "5.8S ribosomal RNA", at positions 35 to 154 of the family's 154-position model. The record is from RNAcentral.